Molecule: ribosomal RNA, 506 nt
Filed under: uncultured Bacteroidota bacterium
Lineage: Bacteria; Pseudomonadati; Bacteroidota
Description: bacterial SSU rRNA
Rfam family: Bacterial small subunit ribosomal RNA
Source: RNAcentral
UAGCAAUAUUAAUAAGGCUAGACCGGCGCACGGGUGCGUAACACGUAUGCAACCUACCUUAUACUGGGGAAUAACUUCGAGAAAUCGGCGCUAAUACCCCAUAACAUUGCGAAAUGGCAUCAUUUUGCAAUUAAAGCUCCGGCGGUAUAAGAUGGGCAUGCGUCCAAUUAGCUAGUUGGUGAGGUAACUGCUCACCAAGGCUACGAUUGGUAGGGGUUCUGAGAGGAUGAUCCCCCACACUGGUACUGAGACACGGACCAGACUCCUACGGGAGGCAGCAGUGAGGAAUAUUGCGCAAUGGACGAAAGUCUGACGCAGCCAUGCCGCGUGCAGGAUGACGGCCCUAUGGGUUGUAAACUGCUUUUGUAUGGGAAUAAACCCUUCUACGUGUAGAAGGCUGAAGGUACCAUAAGAAUAAGCACCGGCUAACUCCGUGCCAGCAGCCGCGGUAAUACGGAGGGUGCAAGCGUUAUCCGGAUUUAUUGGGUUUAAAGGGUCCGUAGGCG